GAGGCAGCAGUGGGGAAUUUUGGACAAUGGGGGCAACCCUGAUCCAGCAAUGCCGCGUGUGUGAAGAAGGCCUUCGGGUUGUAAAGCACUUUUGUCCGGGAAGAAAUCGCACCUGAUAAUACCGGGUGUGGAUGACGGUACCGGAAGAAUAAGGACCGGCUAACUACGUGCCAGCAGCCGCGGUAAUACGUAGGGUCCAAGCGUUAAUCGGAAUUACUGGGCGUAAAGCGUGCGCAGGCGGUUGUGCAAGACCGAUGUGAAAUCCCCGGGCUUAACCUGGGAAUUGCAUUGGUGACUGCACGGCUAGAGUGUGUCAGAGGGGGGUAGAAUUCCACGUGUAGCAGUGAAAUGCGUAGAGAUGUGGAGGAAUACCGAUGGCGAAGGCAGCCCCCUGGGAUAACACUGACGCUCAUGCACGAAAGCGUGGGGAGCAAACAGGAUUAGAUACCCUGGUAGUCCACGCCCUAAACGAUGUCAACUAGUUGUUGGGGAUUCAUUUCCUUAGUAACAUAGCUAACGCGUGAAGUUGACCGCCUGGGGA
RNAcentral lists this ribosomal RNA (541 nucleotides) under uncultured bacterium. Its description in RNAcentral is "bacterial SSU rRNA". It matches the Rfam family "Bacterial small subunit ribosomal RNA", at positions 345 to 879 of the family's 1533-position model. The record is from RNAcentral.